ACGCACGCUGGCGGCGUGCUUCACCCAUGCAAGUCGAACGGAAAGGCUCCAGCUUGUUGGAGUACUCGAGUGGCGAACGGGUGAGUAACACGUGGGUGAUCUGCCCUGCACUUCGGGAUAAGCCUGGGAAACUGGGUCUAAUACCGGAUAGGACCGCACUUUGGUGUGUGUGGUGGAAAGGUUUUUCUGGUGUGGGAUGAGCUCGCGGCCUAUCAGUUUGUUGGUGGGGUAAUGGCCUACCAAGACGGCGACGGGUAGCCGGCCUGAGAGGGUGGACGGUCACAUUGGGACUGAGAUACGGCCCAGACUCCUACGGGAGGCAGCAGUGGGGAAUAUUGCACAAUGGGGGAAACCCUGAUGCAGCGACGCCGCGUGGGGGAUGAAGGCCUUCGGGUUGUAAACUCCUUUCGCUAGGGACGAAGCUUUUUGUGACGGUACCUGGAGAAGAAGCACCGGCUAACUACGUG
RNAcentral lists this ribosomal RNA (467 nucleotides) under uncultured bacterium. Its description in RNAcentral is "partial 16S ribosomal RNA". It matches the Rfam family "Bacterial small subunit ribosomal RNA", at positions 29 to 507 of the family's 1533-position model. The record is from RNAcentral.